UCGAGUGAACCUAAGUACUGC
This 21-nucleotide non-coding RNA is filed under the name Arabidopsis thaliana (thale cress). Lineage: Eukaryota; Viridiplantae; Streptophyta; Magnoliopsida; Brassicales; Brassicaceae. The record is from RNAcentral.